UCGGCCCCUCGCGACGCUAGGUCGAAAACCCCGCCAGGGCCGGAAGGCAGCAACGGUAUCGACUGACGCGGGCGCCGAGGCCAGCCGG
RNAcentral lists this signal recognition particle RNA (88 nucleotides) under Thermomonas haemolytica. Its description in RNAcentral is "Bacterial small signal recognition particle RNA". It matches the Rfam family "Bacterial small signal recognition particle RNA". From Rfam's summary of the family: The signal recognition particle (SRP) is a universally conserved ribonucleoprotein involved in the co-translational targeting of proteins to membranes. Archaeal SRP consists of a 7S RNA and homologues of the eukaryotic SRP19 and SRP54 proteins. Lineage: Bacteria; Pseudomonadati; Pseudomonadota; Gammaproteobacteria; Lysobacterales; Lysobacteraceae. The record is from RNAcentral.